GGAGAGGUGCCGGAGCGGCUUAACGGGCUGGUCUUGAAAACCAUGCAUGCUAUGCAUACGGGGGUUCGAAUCCCUCCCUCUCCGCCA
Molecule: transfer RNA, 87 nt
Filed under: Candidatus Roizmanbacteria bacterium CG_4_9_14_0_2_um_filter_38_17
Lineage: Bacteria; Candidatus Roizmaniibacteriota
Also listed under: 2 other names
Description: tRNA-Ser
Rfam family: tRNA
About the family: Transfer RNA (tRNA) molecules are approximately 80 nucleotides in length. Their secondary structure includes four short double-helical elements and three loops (D, anti-codon, and T loops).
Source: RNAcentral